GACGAACGCUGGCGGCGUGCCUAACACAUGCAAGUCAACUUGAAGGAAGGAGCAAUCUGACCUGGUGGUGGCGCAAGGGUGCGUAACGCGUAAGUAACUUGCCCCAAGGUAAGGAAUAACGUCGAGAAAUCGGCGCUAAUACCUCAUAAUGCAGCGGACCCGCAUGGGUAUGUUGUCAAAGGUUUAACCGCCUUGGGAUAGGCUUGCGUCUGAUUAGCUAGUUGGUGUGGUAACGGCACACCAAGGCUACGAUCAGUAACUGGUCUGAGAGGAUGAUCAGUCACACUGGGAACUGAGACACGGUCCAGACUCCUACGGGAGGCAGCAGUGAGGAAUA
This 337-nucleotide ribosomal RNA is filed under the name uncultured bacterium. RNAcentral's name for it is "bacterial SSU rRNA". It matches the Rfam family "Bacterial small subunit ribosomal RNA", at positions 28 to 363 of the family's 1533-position model. The record is from RNAcentral.